Hemicordylus capensis (graceful crag lizard) is the source of this 706-nucleotide long non-coding RNA. RefSeq lists it as uncharacterized. NCBI's taxonomy places the organism in Eukaryota, Metazoa, Chordata, Lepidosauria, Squamata, Cordylidae. The record is from RefSeq and is a predicted model, not a curated record. The transcript has 2 exons.
AGGCGGCCGCGGCUGGGUGCCUUUGUUAGGGAAAUGCAUUCUUGGGAGUAGGAAGGGAGAGCUGCAGCGUACACAGAGCAGCAGGGAGGUGGCGAUUAAUCACCCGGGACUUUUUAGUUUAGGAAAAAGACCACUAGGGGAGACAUGAUAGAAGUCUAUAAAAUCAUGCAUGGUGUGGAGAAGGUGGAGAGAGAGAAAUUAUUCUCCCUCUCACCUAACACUAGAACCAGGGGCUAUCCCAUGAAAGUGACUGUCAGGAAAUUUAGGACCAGCAAAUAGAGGAAUUCACCUCCAGAAGAUUAUUGAAACCAAACCUGGAGAUCUGAAUGGCUUGCCCUUAUGAACAGAACUGAAAACAAGAAUCUCAGGGACUAGCUCCAGUGGUAACCCCCUAGCUGACCUUGUCUUGCUAGACUUUAAAUCUAUACACACACACCUCAGUCCCCAUCACUGCAGUGCCUCCUGGCUAUCUAAAUGCAUGCAGAAGAACACCACAUGCCAAAAUAACUGCACAAUCAAAGAGAAAUGUGUUUGUAUAGAAAUAUGUCCAAACUAGUGAUGGCUCCAGGUUGGAGAAGAGAGAAAAGGAAAGGAGGAUUAUAACCACUGUGACAAACUUGAAAAUAUGCUUUCUAAGUGAAAUGGGGAACCAGAGGAGAGCUAUCCUGAGGGUAAAACAGUAAGACAACACAAUUUUUAUUUAUCA